UCGACCUCAGAUCAGACGAGAUGACCCGCUGAAU
Molecule: ribosomal RNA, 34 nt
Filed under: Cataxia pulleinei
Lineage: Eukaryota; Metazoa; Arthropoda; Arachnida; Araneae; Idiopidae
Description: partial 28S ribosomal RNA
Source: RNAcentral